Pelobates cultripes (western spadefoot toad) is the source of this 276-nucleotide non-coding RNA. The record is from the annotation of a GenBank genome assembly. NCBI's taxonomy places the organism in Eukaryota, Metazoa, Chordata, Amphibia, Anura, Pelobatidae.
GGGAUGGGGUGACUAGUGACAGAGAGAGGUAUGGGGUGACUAGUGACAGAGGGGGUGAUUAGUGACAGAGUUAGGGAGGGAGUGACUAGUGACAGAGGGAUGGGGUGACUAGUGACAGUCACCCCCUCCCUCACUCUGUCACUAAUCACUACCUCCCUCUGUCACUAGUCACUACCUCCCUCUGUCACUAGUCACUACCUCCCUCUGUCACUAGUCACUCCCUCACUCUGUCACCAGUCAUCCCCUCACUCUGUCACUAGUCACCUCUUCCCUCCC